RNAcentral lists this long non-coding RNA (536 nucleotides) under Androctonus crassicauda. Lineage: Eukaryota; Metazoa; Arthropoda; Arachnida; Scorpiones; Buthidae. The record is from RNAcentral.
GCCAAAUAUUCUUGCCUCAUUCCGAGCCAAGUCAAGCUUGAAAAAAAAGAACAUGCGAGUAGGUAUCUUAUACGGUAUUCAUAGAAAUUGGACUUUUCCUUUCUACCAAGAACAAUUUGUGGUUAGACCUUGAAUUUUAUCAAUUGAAAUCAAUAAGAUCUUUGUGUAUAUAAAGGCAGAUCGACAGGUAUCAAAUCAUAACAGAUUGGUCAACUCUACAAUAUCUGUAUUAACAAAUACAAUAUUUAAAAUGAAGAGCACUCUUUUGGUCGCUUUGCUCUGUUGUGCAAUUCUCUGUUCGGCAAUUUUGCCAUCAGUUGAAGCCCAAAGGGGAAGAGGAGGAGGCUUUGAAGGUGGAAGAGGCGGUCGAGGUGGUGGAUUUGGUGGUGGAAGUAGAGGAGGAUUUGGUGGUGGAAAUAGAGGAGGAUUUGGUGGUGGAAGUAGAGGAGGAUUUGGUGGUGGAAAUAGAGGAGGAUUUGGUGGUGGAAGUAGAGGAGGAUUUGGUGGUGGAAAUAGAGGAGGAUUUGGUGGUGGAA